This 500-nucleotide ribosomal RNA is filed under the name uncultured bacterium. RNAcentral describes it as "partial 16S ribosomal RNA". It matches the Rfam family "Bacterial small subunit ribosomal RNA", at positions 29 to 507 of the family's 1533-position model. The record is from RNAcentral.
AAUCAACGCUGGCGGCGUGCCUAACACAUGCAAGUCGAACGCGAAAGCCCCGCAAGGGGUAAGUAGAGUGGCAAACGGGUGAGUAACACGUGGGUGACCUGCCUUCGAGUGGGGGAUAACGUCCCGAAAGGGACGCUAAUACCGCAUGACAUCCUGCUUUUGAAAAAGCGGAGAUCAAAGCUGGGGAUCGCAAGACCUAGCGCUUGAAGAGGGGCCCGCGCCUGAUUAGCUAGUUGGUGAGGUAACGGCUCACCAAGGCGACGAUCAGUAUCCGGCCUGAGAGGGCGGACGGACACACUGGGACUGAGACACGGCCCAGACUCCUACGGGGGGCAGCAGUGGGGAAUUGUUCGCAAUGGGCGCAAGCCUGACGACGCAACGCCGCGUGGAGGACGAAGAGCUUCGGGUCGUAAACUCCUGUCGAGCGGGACGAACGCUUCGCGGAUGAAUAAUCCGCGGAAUUGACGGUACCGCUAAAGGAAGCCCCGGCUAACUCCGUG